This 445-nucleotide ribosomal RNA is filed under the name uncultured archaeon. RNAcentral's name for it is "bacterial SSU rRNA". It matches the Rfam family "Archaeal small subunit ribosomal RNA", at positions 907 to 1352 of the family's 1478-position model. The record is from RNAcentral.
CGGACUCACGCCGGAAAUCUCACCGGAUAAGACAGCUGAAUGAUAGUCGGGAUGAAGACUCUACUUGACUAGCUGAGAGGAGGUGCAUGGCCGUCGUCAGUUCGUACUGUGAAGCAUCCUGUUUAGUCAGGCAACGAGCGAGACCCACGCGAGCAGUUGCCAGCAUGACCUUCGGGUUGAUGGGGACACUGCUCGGACCGCCUCUGCUAAAGGGGAGGAAGGACUGGGCAACGGUAGGUCAGCAUGCCCCGAAUUAUCCGGGCUACACGCGGGCUACAAUGGUCAGGACAAUGGGUUCCGACACCGAAAGGUGAAGGCAAUCUCCUAAACCUGUCCGAAGUUCGGAUUGCGGGUUGUAACUCACCCGCAUGAAGCUGGAAUCCGUAGUAAUCGCGUUUCAUCAUAACGCGGUGAAUAUGUCCCUGCUCCUUGCACACACCGCCCG